RNAcentral lists this unclassified non-coding RNA (2531 nucleotides) under Homalodisca vitripennis (glassy-winged sharpshooter). Its description in RNAcentral is "integral membrane protein GPR155, transcript variant X1". Lineage: Eukaryota; Metazoa; Arthropoda; Insecta; Hemiptera; Cicadellidae. The record is from RNAcentral.
CUUUUACAUAUGGAAUAAAAUUUCUGUCGUCUGUUGUUGUGUCGGUUUGUCAGAUGGAGCGGCAACUAUUCGUUUAAUUGGAACAAUUUUUUGUAAUGACUAAAAUGUAUUCGUGUUUACGCAUAACGAGAGACUUUCCAAAUACCUUUAGUUUUAUAAUAUCGAAAGUUAUCGAAUUGGCGAAGUAAUGUUUUUGUAAGGUACAAUUACGUUUAUUUACUUGUGCAGCCAGUAAUCUCAUCACAUUGACAACCUUACAGAUGGAUGCCAGCCUGGUAGUAACCCUGGAUAACCUUUACCCUGCCCUCAUCCAGUGCUUUGCUGUUAUCAUAUGUGGGUAUGUUGCGGGCAGGAUUGGACUGGUCACGGAGGAGCAGUCGUCAGGUCUCAACACGUUUGUCGGCACGUUCAGUCUCCCCUCACUCAUUUUCCUGUCACUGGCCUCACUCAAUCUGUCAGAUGUCAACUGGUACUUUCUGUUGGCAAUACUGGUCUCCAAGGCUCUGGUGUUCCUCUCUGUAGUCCUAGUCACACUGCUCGUGUCUCGACCGUUCAGUGCUGCUCGAGCUGGUCUCUAUGCCAUAUUUUGCACUCAGAGCAAUGACUUUGCCAUCGGUUUUCCUAUAGUCUUGGCUCUGUACAAGACGACACACCCAGACUACGUAAACUACCUCUACCUCCUAGCCCCAGUGUCUUUGGCGAUACUCAACCCAUUUGGUUUUGUGUUGAUGGAGGUGAGCCGAAAUCGUGCAGGCGAGAAUGAACAAAGCAAAUGGACUACAGUCGCCAAUGUUGCACGUAACAUUGCUACCAACCCGAUAGUCUUCAUGACCACCCUUGGCAUGUUGGCCAACGUGCUCUUCAACCACACUCUACCUCCUGCCAUGGAGGAUGUUCUAAACGUGUUCGGGUCUGCCUUCACAGGCACUGCUCUGUUCUUACUAGGACUAAGAAUGGUCGGCAAGGUGCAGAAGCUUCAUGGCUUUGCGCUUUUGGUGCCUGGAAUACUCAUUGCUGUCAAAUUGUUGGCACUUCCAUUGGUUACCAGGGAAGUGGUAAGCCUGAUCCUUCAGUUUAGCCAGCACAAUAGUACAGAAGUCCAAGAUCUGAGUACUUAUGGUUUUCUUUAUGGAACGUUUCCCUCGGCCCCUAGCGUAUUCGUUUACGCUACAAGCUAUUCUAUGGAUGUAGAUUUGAUAGCAUGUGCGAUGGUGGCUUGUACAUUCCUGUCAGCCCCUCUCAUGUUCGCCUCAGCCAAGAUGGUGAUAGCCUCCAACCUGGACCCCAAACAGUUCAUGAAGACUCUGAACCUGUUUGAGUUCGACAUCAGUAUCGCUGCAGUACUGGCUGCUAUUUGGAUGUUGGUGCUUUUCGUAGCGAACAAGAGCUAUCAGAACUUCCACCAGAGAAUGGUGUUGUACUUAGUCAUUUCACAGCUGGUAGGAUGUGUUGGAUUCCUGCUGGGCCACAUUCCUCUGACUCCUGUACAUUAUGCUCACUUCAUCCUGGAGACAGUGGGGGAUCUGAGUGCACGUCUGUGGACCUGCCUUCUGGCCACAGCCUUGCUACUUGUGGAGUGCCACAACCUCUGCAGCCUCAUGCGACUGCAGCCUCUUUUCCUCUUUGCUGCCUGGGGGUUGCCCACCCUGGCUGUGGCCAUGUUGAUGAUGACAACCACACCACAGCCGGUAGGAACAGGAGAGAACUAUGAGUACGGUAGAACACAAGCUGCUGUUAUACUGUUUGUGCUUAUUACUUCGUUGGUUGUGACUGUGGGCUGUCUGAUCCUGCACCAAUGGUACCUGAGGAGACAGAAGCAGUAUCUGCUGCUGGUUCGGGAGACUAAUGAAUCCUCCAGUCAUCCAGCAGCGGUGGACCACAGUCCUGUCCAUAACGGUGGGAUGGUGUCUCCCCGAAGAGGAUCCAACAAACCAGAGGACAGGGAAGGCCUGUGCUCGGCAAAACCAAGUAUAAAUGACCGAGGCCACCCAGAGAGACAGACCAGUGAGGAGCGACAGAUGGCCAGUCAGGAGGAUAACAUCUUGAGACUCAUCGUUCUGUUGGUGUUUCUCACCUGUUCUGUCUUUAUCAGCCUGUCAGUCUGUAUAUGGAGGGUUGUGAUGGAGGGUAUCACAGGUGUGUAUGUGGAACUGCUAUUUCUGGACGCAAGUCUCAACAGAGGCCAAAGCCUGCUUGUGCUGGCUGUAUAUGGGCUGGACAGCAACACCAUUCUGGAGCCUCUCCUCUCAAGGAGAAGACAAGAGACUGAGGACUACCAGGAACUCUCUGAGGACGAUAGUUUGCUUCUUCACAUUGAGUGACUUCCGCUAAACCGCAUGCAUGCCACUUUUUAAAUUUGGCACCUUAUUAAACAUUGGCACUAGUAACAGGGAGUAACGAGGCUGUGGUACGGAGGUGAGACGCUGCAGUUGCCGGCUUGGGAGGAUUUGUCGUUCGAGACACGCCACGUCUGUGAGCAGUUUAUCAGCCAUCAUCUGGACCAGUGCCGUCAGGAUAUCAUCACCGAUACC